AUGGCAGGAGGGGCGAACCUCCAUGGGACGGGUCGCCACCAAGGAGAUGGAGCUCCUUCUCCAUCCAAUUUGGCAAUCUCCGGCCGCCUCCUCCAGAUCCUCGCCAACCAUGGGCCCCUCACCGUCGGCAACACCUGGAACCAUGCCAAGACACCUGGUGGUGAGGUCACCCAUCCUCGAGGAGCAGAAGGAGGGAUGUAA
RNAcentral lists this ribosomal RNA (201 nucleotides) under Triticum aestivum (bread wheat). RNAcentral's name for it is "partial small subunit ribosomal RNA". The record is from RNAcentral. Lineage: Eukaryota; Viridiplantae; Streptophyta; Magnoliopsida; Poales; Poaceae.